AGACGUCUACAUUAGAUACCCCCGUAGUCCCAGCCGUAAACUAUGCGCGUUAGGUGUAUCGGUGACCACGAGUUACCGAGGUGCCGAAGGGAAACCGUGAAACGUGCCGCCUGGGAAGUACGGUCGCAAGGCUGAAACUUAAAGGAAUUGGCGGGGGAGCACAACAACGGGUGGAGCCUGCGGUUUAAUUGGACUCAACGCCGGACAACUCACCGGGGACGACAGCAAUAUGUAGGCCAGGUUGAAGACCUUGCCUGAAUCGCUG
RNAcentral lists this ribosomal RNA (265 nucleotides) under uncultured archaeon. RNAcentral's name for it is "partial 16S ribosomal RNA". It matches the Rfam family "Archaeal small subunit ribosomal RNA", at positions 714 to 982 of the family's 1478-position model. The record is from RNAcentral.